This 328-nucleotide unclassified non-coding RNA is filed under the name uncultured fungus. Its description in RNAcentral is "partial contains small subunit ribosomal RNA, internal transcribed spacer 1, and 5.8S ribosomal RNA". The stretch from base 1 to 73 matches the Rfam family "Eukaryotic small subunit ribosomal RNA", at positions 1759 to 1831 of the family's 1831-position model. The record is from RNAcentral. Lineage: Eukaryota; Fungi.
UCAAACUUGGUCAUUUAGAGGAAGUAAAAGUCGUAACAAGGUUUCCGUAGGUGAACCUGCGGAAGGAUCAUUAAUGGAUUUUAAAAAAGGGGUUUGGUAUAGUGCUGGUCAAUAUUUUUUGGCAAGUGCACAUCCUUCCCUGAUCAUCCACUUUUACCACUGUGAACCUUUAGUAGGGCUGGAAACAGCUCUAUGUAUUUUUUACACACCAUGUAUAACCUUUGAAUGUCUUUACUUUCAAGUAUGCUCGCAAGGGCAGAAAGAAAAUAAAAUAAAUACAACUUUCAACAACGGAUCUCUUGGCUCUCCCAUCGAUGAAGAACGCAGC